ACUCAACGAGAAUUCUAUAAAUGGGGUCCGUUUAAGUUGUAAAAGCAUGCUGCCUUGUCGCAGACCCUUGAUCAGCUUUUCAGCCCUAAAUCCUGUUAAAAAGGAGUUU
Molecule: non-coding RNA, 109 nt
Organism: Formosa sp. Hel3_A1_48
Lineage: Bacteria; Pseudomonadati; Bacteroidota; Flavobacteriia; Flavobacteriales; Flavobacteriaceae
Source: Rfam